Saccostrea cuccullata (small rock oyster) is the source of this 339-nucleotide long non-coding RNA. RefSeq lists it as uncharacterized. The transcript has 3 exons. NCBI's taxonomy places the organism in Eukaryota, Metazoa, Mollusca, Bivalvia, Ostreida, Ostreidae. The record is from RefSeq and is a predicted model, not a curated record.
GAGGAUAUGAUGUAAGAUCGUACGUUAUCGUAUGUUCUGGAGUAUCACUUAUUUGCCAGAAUAUUACCGCAAGAAGCUGCAUAGCUGAUAGACCAAGGGAAAGAAACAAAGCAGUCAUCAUCGUACACAUGUAAGGUCUUGCAAGGAGAUAAUCACUCCAUUGCACCUGAUCCCACCUCUGAUGUUUUAGAGUUUCCCUCUGUGCAGUUUGGGUAAAAUUGAAGUAAGAAUUCUGAAUACCAUGGAUUUGGAUUUGUUUCUGUACUCUGGCUGCAAAUACAAUGAUUGAAAUUAUAUUGUAAUUAUAUGUAAUAUAAAUUGUACAUUUUUUUAAACCAU